This 76-nucleotide transfer RNA is filed under the name Clostridia bacterium. Its description in RNAcentral is "tRNA-Val". It matches the Rfam family "tRNA". Rfam says of the family: Transfer RNA (tRNA) molecules are approximately 80 nucleotides in length. Their secondary structure includes four short double-helical elements and three loops (D, anti-codon, and T loops). Lineage: Bacteria; Bacillati; Bacillota; Clostridia. The record is from RNAcentral.
GGAAGCUUAGCUCAGCUGGGAGAGCAUCUGCCUUACAAGCAGGCGGUCGUAGGUUCGAGCCCUACAGUUUCCACCA